UGGCUCAGAUUGAACGCUGGCGGCAGGCCUAACACAUGCAAGUCGAGCGGUAGCACAGAGAGCUUGCUCUCGGGUGACGAGCGGCGGACGGGUGAGUAAUGUCUGGGAAACUGCCUGAUGGAGGGGGAUAACUACUGGAAACGGUAGCUAAUACCGCAUAAUGUCGCAAGACCAAAGUGGGGGACCUUCGGGCCUCAUGCCAUCAGAUGUGCCCAGAUGGGAUUAGCUAGUAGGUGGGGUAACGGCUCACCUAGGCGACGAUCCCUAGCUGGUCUGAGAGGAUGACCAGCCACACUGGAACUGAGACACGGUCCAGACUCCUACGGGAGGCAGCAGUGGGGAAUAUUGCACAAUGGGCGCAAGCCUGAUGCAGCCAUGCCGCGUGUGUGAAGAAGGCCUUCGGGUUGUAAAGCACUUUCAGCGGGGAGGAAGGCGUUAAGGUUAAUAACCUUGGCGAUUGACGUUACCCGCAGAAGAAGCACCGGCUAACUCCGUGCCAGCAGCCGCGGUAAUACGGAGGGUGCAAGCGUUAAUCGGAAUUACUGGGCGUAAAGCGCACGCAGGCGGUCUGUCAAGUCGGAUGUGAAAUCCCCGGGCUCAACCUGGGAACUGCAUUCGAAACUGGCAGGCUAGAGUCUUGUAGAGGGGGGUAGAAUUCCAGGUGUAGCGGUGAAAUGCGUAGAGAUCUGGAGGAAUACCGGUGGCGAAGGCGGCCCCCUGGACAAAGACUGACGCUCAGGUGCGAAAGCGUGGGGAGCAAACAGGAUUAGAUACCCUGGUAGUCCACGCCGUAAACGAUGUCGAUUUGGAGGUUGUGCCCUUGAGGCGUGGCUUCCGGAGCUAACGCGUUAAAUCGACCGCCUGGGGAGUACGGCCGCAAGGUUAAAACUCAAAUGAAUUGACGGGGGCCCGCACAAGCGGUGGAGCAUGUGGUUUAAUUCGAUGCAACGCGAAGAACCUUACCUGGUCUUGACAUCCACAGAACUUUCCAGAGAUGGAUUGGUGCCUUCGGGAACUGUGAGACAGGUGCUGCAUGGCUGUCGUCAGCUCGUGUUGUGAAAUGUUGGGUUAAGUCCCGCAACGAGCGCAACCCUUAUCCUUUGUUGCCAGCGGUUCGGCCGGGAACUCAAAGGAGACUGCCAGUGAUAAACUGGAGGAAGGUGGGGAUGACGUCAAGUCAUCAUGGCCCUUACGACCAGGGCUACACACGUGCUACAAUGGCAUAUACAAAGAGAAGCGACCUCGCGAGAGCAAGCGGACCUCAUAAAGUAUGUCGUAGUCCGGAUUGGAGUCUGCAACUCGACUCCAUGAAGUCGGAAUCGCUAGUAAUCGUAGAUCAGAAUGCUACGGUGAAUACGUUCCCGGGCCUUGUACACACCGCCCGUCACACCAUGGGGAGUGGGUUGCAAAAGAAGUAGGUAGCUUAACCUUCGGGAGGGCGCUUACCACUUUGUGAUUCAUGACUGGGGUGAAGUC
RNAcentral lists this ribosomal RNA (1476 nucleotides) under Klebsiella pneumoniae. RNAcentral describes it as "bacterial SSU rRNA". It matches the Rfam family "Bacterial small subunit ribosomal RNA". Lineage: Bacteria; Pseudomonadati; Pseudomonadota; Gammaproteobacteria; Enterobacterales; Enterobacteriaceae. The record is from RNAcentral.